GUAAUUUUCCUCGACUGUGUACCAACGCCCGUGGUUUUAAGGAACGUGCUUCCGCAAGGAGACUACCAGCACUCACUCAAACAAAUUGCUAUCUACGAUAAUAACCUACGCCCUUCGAUGGUUCACCAAAUAUAGGAGACAAAAACCCUGGUGGGCCCUAUCCUAUUUAGCUGACAUACUGAAUACUUUGAAGACUGUUAAAGGUUGACUUUCCUUACUACUGGAGUUUACUCUUCGACCCUUUCUUACAAUGGGAAUGAGGACGUAUAUUCUUGACUGGAGGA
This is a long non-coding RNA of Zophobas morio, 284 nucleotides long. RefSeq lists it as uncharacterized. NCBI's taxonomy places the organism in Eukaryota, Metazoa, Arthropoda, Insecta, Coleoptera, Tenebrionidae. The transcript is spliced from 3 exons. The record is from RefSeq and is a predicted model, not a curated record.